GGGUUGGGCUGUCUGCAUUCUCCAAAACUGAAGCAAGCAGCCAAACGGUAAGAGAAAAAUAGAAAAAAAGAAGGUGAAAAGGGAGAGAUAGUUUUCA
RNAcentral lists this non-coding RNA (97 nucleotides) under Palpitomonas bilix. The record is from RNAcentral.